RNAcentral lists this unclassified non-coding RNA (318 nucleotides) under uncultured fungus. RNAcentral describes it as "partial contains 5.8S ribosomal RNA and internal transcribed spacer 2". The stretch from base 1 to 133 matches the Rfam family "5.8S ribosomal RNA", at positions 22 to 154 of the family's 154-position model. The record is from RNAcentral. Lineage: Eukaryota; Fungi.
UGGUUCUGGCAUCGAUGAAGAACGCAGCGAAAUGCGAUAAGUAAUGUGAAUUGCAGAAUUCAGUGAAUCAUCGAAUCUUUGAACGCACAUUGCGCCCUCUGGUAUUCCGGGGGGCAUGCCUGUUCGAGCGUCAUUACAACCCUCAAGCUCUGCUUGGUAUUAAGGCUCGCCUGCUAGCAGGUGACCUGUAAAAUCAGUGGCGGUGCCGUUCGGCUUCUAGCGUAGUAAUUUUUCUCGCUUUGGAGUAUCGACUGCGUGCUUGCCAGUAACUCCAAUUUAUCAAAGGUUGACCUCGGAUCAGGUAGGGAUACCCGCUGA